Non-coding RNA from Penaeus vannamei (Pacific white shrimp), 504 nucleotides. NCBI's taxonomy places the organism in Eukaryota, Metazoa, Arthropoda, Malacostraca, Decapoda, Penaeidae. The record is from RefSeq and is a predicted model, not a curated record.
CCUUUUUUUCUGUAUCUCCAUAAGGUCACCAGCGCUGGCUACCAGACGGUGCUGUCGUCGUGCUGGUACCUGAACUACAUCAGCUACGGCGUCGACUGGCACAAGUACUACGAGUGCGACCCCCAGGAGUUCAACGGUACGGCGGCGCAGCAGCAGCUGGUGCUGGGCGGCGAGGCGUGCAUGUGGGGCGAGUACGUGGAUCGCACCAACCUGAUCUCCCGCACGUGGCCGCGGGCAUCCGUCGUGGCGGAAAAACUGUGGAGCGCUGCCGCGCACACCGCCGACGCAGACGCCGCUGCGCCCCGCCUGGAGGAGCACCGGUGCCGACUCCUCGGCAGGGGCUACGACGUUGAACCGCUCUGGCCGUCCUUCUGCCCGUCCGACCUCUAGAGCCGAGGACGAUGUCUGCGAACCGCGAAGGACCGGUCUCCUCCAUCCUGUGCAAUGGCCCGGGAUUUUGUACGCAUAAAAAGACAAGAGAAAAAAAUAAACCAUCGUAUCAUA